GUCCGCAUCAAUUCCCCAUCUAACACAGCCAUUGAAGAUUUCAGUUUCCUCUCCCAAUGAACCUCCUGACGGUACACAUGCUUCCUCUUCCCACGAAUCUCCGUUCGAAUCGGAAACGGAUGGAGGAAUGCGACGAGUUCCCGCACAUCCCCCUUUUAAAUUCGUGCUCCACCAUCCCCUGUAUUCUUUAUCGUCAUUCCCCACUGCAGACGGGGUUCUUCCAAGGAGCAAACCUGCCGCUGGACGUCUUUCCCGCCGAACAGUGUGUUUUAACCCUUCAUCGCUGCAUACACAUGCUCGCCGAAAGAUAGGUACGUUAUUCACAGAUUUUACAAUUUACAAUUUAUAAUUACAGAUCUUCUCUUCAGAAGCAAUCCAGACAACAACACUGUGGCAAACAACAACGAGGAGCAACAGUCAAGCCAAUCUUCAUAAGGCAUAUCAUAGAACAUAUAGGAGUAUGCGACCAAUAAGUGAAGAAGCUUUUCAUCCUACGACAACAUAAUAUUUCCUGACCCGCAAAAAAAAAAACAUAAUAUUUCCUGGACUGAUAAUAGGCAAUAACGGCAGUGAUCAACUUAUGUUCUGCCUGAGAAACAUCCACAUACCAAACAACUGUUGCAAACUAUAGCUAUGUCCUCCACUGCAUCCACAUGUACCUGCAUGGAUAUUAUUAAUGAACCCGACUUUCAGUUUUGCUUUCAGCGCUUUCAAGUUUCCACUGAUCAA
Long non-coding RNA from Lolium perenne, 729 nucleotides. RefSeq lists it as uncharacterized. Lineage: Eukaryota; Viridiplantae; Streptophyta; Magnoliopsida; Poales; Poaceae. The record is from RefSeq and is a predicted model, not a curated record.